GGAGGGUGCAAGCGUUGUUCGGAAUUACUGGGCGUAAAGCGCGUGUAGGCGGUUCUUUAAGUUUCGUGUGAAAGCCCUCGGCUUAACCGGGGAACUGCGCGGGAUACUGGAGAACUUGAAUACGGGAGAAGAGGGCGGAAUUCCCAGUGUAGAGGUGAAAUUCGUAGAUAUUGGGAGGAACACCGGAGGCGAAAGCGGCUCUCUAGACCGAUAUUGACGCUCAGACGCGAAAGCGUGGGUAGCAAACAGGAUUAGAUACCCUGGGUAGUCCACGCCGUAAACGAUGGAUGCUAGGUGUUGCGGGAGUUGACCCCCCUGCGGUGCCGACGCUAACGCAUUAAGCAUCCCGCCUGGGGAUUACGGUCGCAAGACUA
This 374-nucleotide ribosomal RNA is filed under the name uncultured organism. RNAcentral's name for it is "partial 16S ribosomal RNA". It matches the Rfam family "Bacterial small subunit ribosomal RNA", at positions 527 to 896 of the family's 1533-position model. The record is from RNAcentral.